Molecule: ribosomal RNA, 374 nt
Filed under: uncultured prokaryote
Description: bacterial SSU rRNA
Rfam family: Bacterial small subunit ribosomal RNA
Source: RNAcentral
GACAGAGGGGGCAAGCGUUGCUCGGAAUUACUGGGCGUAAAGGGCGCGUAGGCGGGAUGGCAAGUCGGUCGUGAAAUCCCUCGGCUCAACUGAGGAGCGUCGAUCGAUACUGCCGUUCUUGAGGAUUGCAGAGGAGACUGGAAUUCCCGGUGUAGCGGUGAAAUGUGUAGAGAUCGGGAGGAACACCGGUGGCGAAGGCGGGUCUCUGGGCAAUUCCUGACGCUGAGGCGCGAAAGCGUGGGGAGCAAACGGGAUUAGAUACCCCGGUAGUCCACGCUGUAAACGAUGACGACUAGGUGUGGGGGGGUUCAGUCCCUUCCGUGCCGCAGCUAACGCAUUAAGUCGUCCGCCUGGGGAGUACGGCCGCAAGGUUG